Molecule: regulatory RNA element, 37 nt
Organism: Camelus ferus (Wild Bactrian camel)
Lineage: Eukaryota; Metazoa; Chordata; Mammalia; Artiodactyla; Camelidae
Rfam family: Renin stability regulatory element (REN-SRE)
About the family: This family represents a cis-acting element in the 3'-UTR of the renin (REN) gene called renin stability regulatory element (REN-SRE) which acts to regulate renin production. REN-SRE is thought to destabilise the mRNA, promoting degradation of the sequence.
Source: Rfam
CUGCUUUGAGAACAAACAGAAUAAAGACUUCAUAUUC